This 2412-nucleotide ribosomal RNA is filed under the name Triticum aestivum (bread wheat). RNAcentral describes it as "partial small subunit ribosomal RNA". Lineage: Eukaryota; Viridiplantae; Streptophyta; Magnoliopsida; Poales; Poaceae. The record is from RNAcentral.
AUGGAAGGUGAUACAGAUCCAGAAGAUCUUUUCUGUGAGGAGGAUAGUUCAGAUGAGGAUGAGGUUUUAGUACAGCAAGCUCCACCACAAAAACUACCAGUUAGAAGAGGGCCAACUGACAGAUCUCACAGCAGUUCUGUAGCAACAAUAGAACCAGAUUAUGUGCUCUCCUCUGAUGAGAACAUGGAAGAUGGUAAGUGUGAAUUAUCAGAUGAUGAGGAGAUAAGAUAUGUGCCAAAUACUGGCAAGAGAUCAAGAGCUAAGAAGAGAGCAGUGAGGAAGUGGUAUAAUGAGGAAAUGCAACAACCUGAAGAUCAAAUUUGUUGGCAGAAGUGUUUUGAGGAUGCAUAUCAGUUCAGAAGGGCUCUGGUGAACUUGCAUGUAACUCAGAGGAGGAAUUUCCACUAUCAUAGGAAUUGCAAGGACAUGAUAAUAGUUGACUGCAGUCAAGAGGGCUGCAACUUUCAUAUGACUUCCUCACAAGUGGGAAAAGAGAAAACCUUCUGCAUAAAGAAACUCCAACUGCAUCACACAUGUCCUGUAAUUGGUGAGAACUGCAAAGUGCCCAUUAAGUAUGUGGCAAAGUCAAUUGAGAGCAGCUUAAGGAUAGAUCCUAGCACAUGUGUUGAUAUUGUGAUAGAGAACACCAAGGAAAAGUUUGGUGUGGAGGCAGGCAAGAACAAGGCAUACAUGGCAAGAAAACUAGCUUUGGCAGUGGUCCUGGGUGAUCAGGAAAGGCAGUACACAAGAAUUAGGGACUACCUUCAGACAGUGCCUGACACAAACCCUGGAUCUAGAUGUAUAAUUACUACUAGAGUUGUGAAAGAGCACCCAAGUACCAAUCCCAGAUUUCAUAGGUUGUUCAUGUGUCUUGGAGCAUCAAUUGAAGGUUUCUUGAAAGGAUGCAGGCCAUUCAUUGGUUUGGAUGGGUGCUUUGUAAAGCUGAGCAUAGGACGAAAAAUUCUAGCUGCCACUGCAAGGGAUGGUAAUAACAAUAUCUAUCCUAUUACUUUUGGAGUGGUUGAAGUAGAGGACACACCUAGCUGGAGUUGGUUCCUCACACAUUUGAAAAUAGCUAUUGGUGGAGAAAAAGGGCAGUUUGGAUACUAUACAAUCAUCUCUAAUAGGCAGAAGGGACUUCUAAAUGCCAUAGAUGCAAUCUUUCCAAAUUGUCCUCAGAGAUACUUUUUAAGAUACAUAUAUGCUAAUUUUCAAAGUGCUGGGUUUAGAGGGGAGGAACUUAAAAAGUAUAUGGAUGGUGCUUCAUAUUCUUAUACAAGACAUGGGUUUGAUGUUAACAUGGAGAACUUGAGACAAGAGAGCCAAGAGGCUUGGGAGUGGCUAAGUAAGAUAGAGGUGAAAACAUGGGCUAGAUGGGCAAUGGACACUAAUUGUAAGACAGACCUGGUUGUCAACAAUUUAAGUGAAAUAUACAAUAUGAUGAUCUUGGAUGUAAGGGGGAAACCAAUCCAGACCAUGUGUGAAGGUAUUAGGACCAAGUUGAUGGUUAAGUACAAUGAGAAAAGAACAGGGAUCCAAAAUGCUAGGUGGGAGAUAACUCUAACAUACUUAGAGAAGUUGGAGGAGUCAAAGAAGUGGGCUAGGAACUGCAAGGCACAAAUGGCUAGUCCAGAUCUUUAUCAGGUUCAGAGUGGGAAAAAUGCUUAUGCUGUAAAUUUGGCACAAAAGACUUGUGGGUGUAGAAGAUGGGACAUGACAAUAAUCCCCUGCCACCAUGCUGUGUCUGCCAUAUAUAAAUCAAAGCAGCAUCCAGAGGAUUUUGUCUCUGCAUUUUUCAAGAAAGAAAUGUACAUGGCAACAUACAAUCCUAUUAUAUUCCCAGUUCCUGGCCCUGAUCUUUGGACCAAGACACCUACCAGAGACAUUGACCCCCCAGUUUUCAAGAAGAAGAAGGGAAGAAAGCAGACCAAGAGAAGAAAGGGUCGGUUUGAGGUGCCCAAGCCCAAAGAUACCUCUAGAGUUGGCACAAUAUCAUGCAACAAUUGUGGUAGAGAGGGUCAUAGGUACAUCAACUGUGGAGAUGCACUCAAGCCAUCACUUCUGAUGAGAAAGAACAAACAUGGGCCCAAUAGGAAGAACCAAGCAACUGCUUUUGUUGCUACUUGUUCUACUGCUACUAAGCCUCCAGCUGCUCCAAAGCCCACAAGAUCUACAACUACUUCUACUAGGGACACAAGGCAAGCAGCUCCCACACCCAAGAACAAAAGGCAAUCAUCAAGUGCUGCCAGGACAAGCAGAACAACACCCACUACAAGAGCUGCUGGUAGGGCACCUUAUGCUCCUCCAAGAGCUGCUGCAAGUCAUGCUGCUGCUGGUCCUUCACAUGGACAGAAGAGGAAGAGGAAGCCUACCAGGUGGGAUGAUUAUUUCACAACAAGUGGAAAUCACUGA